AGAGUUUGAUCAUGGCUCAGGAUGAACGCUGGCGGCGUGCCUAACACAUGCAAGUCGAGCGAUUCUCUUCGGAGAAGAGCGGCGGACGGGUGAGUAACGCGUGGGUAACCUGCCCUGUACACACGGAUAACAUACCGAAAGGUAUGCUAAUACGAGAUAAUAUGCUUUUAUCGCAUGGUAGAAGUAUCAAAGCUUUUGCGGUACAGGAUGGACCCGCGUCUGAUUAGCUAGUUGGUAAGGUAACGGCUUACCAAGGCGACGAUCAGUAGCCGACCUGAGAGGGUGAUCGGCCACAUUGGAACUGAGACACGGUCCAAACUCCUACGGGAGGCAGCAGUGGGGAAUAGUGCACAAUGGGCGAAAGCCUGAUGCAGCAACGCCGCGUGAGCGAUGAAGGCCUUCGGGUCGUAAAGCUCUGUCCUCAAGGAAGAUAAUGACGGUACUUGAGGAGGAAGCCCCGGCUAACUACGUGCCAGCAGCCGCGGUAAUACGUAGGGGGCUAGCGUUAUCCGGAAUUACUGGGCGUAAAGGGUGCGUAGGUGGUUUCUUAAGUCAGAGGUGAAAGGCUACAGCUCAACCGUAGUAAGCCUUUGAAACUGGGAAACUUGAGUGCAGGAGAGGAGAGUGGAAUUCCUAGUGUAGCGGUGAAAUGCGUAGAUAUUAGGAGGAACACCAGUUGCGAAGGCGGCUCUCUGGACUGUAACUGACACUGAGGCACGAAAGCGUGGGGGAGCAAACAGGAUUAGAUACCCUGGUAGU
This 759-nucleotide ribosomal RNA is filed under the name uncultured bacterium. Its description in RNAcentral is "bacterial SSU rRNA". It matches the Rfam family "Bacterial small subunit ribosomal RNA", at positions 8 to 794 of the family's 1533-position model. The record is from RNAcentral.